This 301-nucleotide ribosomal RNA is filed under the name uncultured bacterium. RNAcentral describes it as "partial 16S ribosomal RNA". It matches the Rfam family "Bacterial small subunit ribosomal RNA", at positions 509 to 807 of the family's 1533-position model. The record is from RNAcentral.
CAGCAGCCGCGGGAAUACGGAGGGUGCGAGCGUUAAUCGGAAUUACUGGGCGUAAAGAGUGCGUAGGUGGUUAAUUAAGUUAUCUGUGAAAUUCCUGGGCUUAACCUGGGCAGGUCAGAUAAUACUGGUUAGCUCGAGUAUGGGAGAGGGCAGUGGAAUUUCCGGUGUAGCGGUGAAAUGCGUAGAGAUCGGAAGGAGCACCAGUGGCGAAGGCGGCAACCUGGCCUAAUACUGACACUGAGGCACGAAAGCGUGGGGAGCAAACAGGAUUAGAUACCCGUGUAGUCCCUGUCUCUUAUAC